CUCUCUAUUACAAAAUAAAGUCUUUCCGCAGCACGAAUUGAGGUCCUGAUUGCUCGCGGAGGUGAUCUUGCUGCGUUGCGAGAGGUUUGUCUGCAGGGUCAUCGAGACUGCCAGUGCCCCUUUGUGACAGCUUCGUCAAGAGGUGUAUAUAUAUAUAUAUAUAUAUAUAUAUAUAUCUCUGUGCAAAAGCCUGUGAUCAGCAUAUCGGUUUCGAUUGUAAAGGGUCUAAGUUGUAUCAGUUUGACUGCUGGGUGGGGAGUAUUGGAGCGCGCCUGAGGUGAUGGUAGGGAAGGGCUCGGGGCUCAGGGACGUUCGAGUCCUGAGAGGAGUACAACCUGAAUCUACUCCAGUACUCGUCCGAUAAGGCACGGCAUUGUGGAGGGAUGGUUGGAGUCUUCACAAAGUUUUCGUACGGCUGGCCGACUAAUCAUCCAAGACAUGGUCGUUAUCCGGAAGACAGGUUCAGUGGGAACUGGAUCAGUCCCAUCGUUGCAUUAAACGAUGUGCUGUCCUUGGAGACUUUCGAAGCCGUGGAGCAUCCAUCGGAGCCUGUAGAUUCCGACCUAGCAGCUCCGUGCCCGCCACCAGAGCGCUGCAUCAUGCAGGAUAGCUUGAUAUGGAAGAAAUGCUCGUGGGCAGUCUCAGGCGCGAAUGUGAGAAACCAUGACAGGAAGGAGACGUAAUGGUACGCACAGGGAUAUUGCAAUGCCGGCGAAAUGUUUUACAGACUGCGGGAAAAUUUCCUGUCGGUAACGCACAGCGCACCAGAGCGCAUUGUGUCAAGAACGCUGGAAUAAUCUGGUUGCUUGGCUAUAUUCGAUCGCUGGUGCGGCUCGUGGUGCAGGGUGCACAGAUGCAUUUGUACAAUAGUCCUCUCUCGGUUGUUUCCUGUUUCGAACUUGUCUACUGCAGCUGCAACGCAGAUUUUGGAUAUUGUGUCGAACAAGGUAGACCCAGGCCUUUGUACAUAGUAUAGUUGAGUUGGUUUAUUGGAAUAUUGGCACCCUAAUCCUCUGGCAGGGUGUAAUCUCCAUAUAAUUUAGGUCACCUUGCGAGGUUUUGAUGAUCGUAGGUACUCUGGGUCGAUCGCUUCGUCCGAACGACCCAUUACCCGUUUUUUAACAGAGAGUAUAGCGCUAUCAUGGCAGCUUCAGUGUGUUCAAUCCACAUCAAAUUUGUUGCAGCAUGUUGUCUUAGCUGUCCUUGACAUGCGCAUUUUGGUUAGUUGUUGAGUGAUCAGACGCUUUUAACACUGAGCUGACCAUAUUCGAACAGUCUGGGAAGGGUGUGAGUGGAAAUGUCUUUAAACCUUUUCUCUUUAAACCUCGGCACACGGACAAUGGGAUGCAUCUCAGCGUUAAUUGGCAUUGACAUGCAUUAGUGACGUGAAUCCACUCUCUUUACAUUUGUGGUACUGUCCAAUUGAUGUAAUAUGAAUCUCCAACUUCUCUAAUUCAAGUAGUGAUAUGUUGCUAUA
Long non-coding RNA from Physcomitrium patens, 1477 nucleotides. RefSeq lists it as uncharacterized. The record is from RefSeq and is a predicted model, not a curated record. NCBI's taxonomy places the organism in Eukaryota, Viridiplantae, Streptophyta, Bryopsida, Funariales, Funariaceae.